This 439-nucleotide ribosomal RNA is filed under the name uncultured bacterium. RNAcentral describes it as "partial 16S ribosomal RNA". It matches the Rfam family "Bacterial small subunit ribosomal RNA", at positions 339 to 795 of the family's 1533-position model. The record is from RNAcentral.
CUACGGGAGGCUCCAGUGAGGAAUAUUGCACAAUGGGGGGAGCCCUGAUGCAGCAACGCCGCGUGGAGGAUGACGCAUUUCGGUGUGUAAACUCCUUUUAUAUGUCAAGAAAAUGACGGUAGCAUAUGAGUAAGCACCGGCUAACUCCGUGCCAGCAGCCGCGGUAAUACGGAGGGUGCAAGCGUUACUCGGAAUCACUGGGCGUAAAGGACGCGUAGGCGGGUUGGAAAGUCAGGUGUGAAAUCCUACAGCUUAACUGUAGAACUGCACUUGAAACUUCUAAUCUAGAGUAUGGGAGGGGGAGAUGGAAUUAGUGGUGUAGGGGUAAAAUCCGUAGAUAUCACUAGGAAUACCUAAAGCGAAGGCGACCUCCUGGAACAUUACUGACGCUAAGGCGUGAAAGCGUGGGGAGCAAAUAGGAUUAGAUACCCCCGUAGUC